CCACAUAUUUCUGUUAUUAACUUUCUAUUGCUACAAAGCUCUUUCUGUUUGUUACAGUGACAUUGCUACCCAAGCCUGAGAUUUCCCACACAAUUGCAUCAUUGCUCUCCAGCACACUAAUGUAGAACUGGGAGCAGGAAAAAACACUUUUGAAACAGAAAGAGAAACAAUGAUGUAGAACAAGCUUGCUGCUACCCUGCAGCCUAUUUAAUUAACAGAAUCGAUCACUUCUUGGAAAGGAUGGAGUGAUUUGAUAGAAUUCAGGGAGAAAACACCUCCUUUUCAGGGCAAGGAUAGUUCCUUUCUGACACCCCCACUGCUUUUUUAAAUUACUUUCUGCUGAUCCCCACAGAGGAGAGAAAAAAUGAUUUUUUGUUGUUGUUGUUUUGUUGGUUCAUGUAUAUUCAGACCCUCAGACUCUCCAGAGUGAUAAGUGACUGUAUGGCAGAUUAUACUCUCAGGACAAGGUCUUAUUUGUCAUAACAGUUGCUAAUGCUAACAUGAAUUAGUUAGUCAAUUCAACAAGGUAAAUAAAUGUUUCAUAAUAUACUUUGAACACAAAGUCUUGCACACAUACAUUCAGACAUUAUAAAAUGUUUUUAAACAGAUUUUCCAAGUUAGAAAUGGGACAUAUAUUUUUAUAUAUAAACCAUCUACUUUGUGACACAAAGAAAUUUUGAAUUAAAAAUGUAGUUAACACCAAGGACAUGUAUACUUGUUCAAGCAAAAGAUGUAAUAGCCAGUUCUUCCAAAGUCCUGAACACCUGCUGAAAUAAAUGAACUCUGGACUGUAAAGACAACUACAGUCCUGUUGUUCUUCAUGGAUUGUUCUUUCUCUGAUUGUAGGUUAUUCAUAUUCAUGUGGGUGCAGCAGAUCUGCAUAGGUGCACAGAAUUUAGCCCAAUGACUACAGGAGUCAAACUGUGUACAUGGAAUAAUAUAUCACCUGCAAAGCAGACAGUCAAGCAAAAUAAUAUCACCAGAAACAUUCCACCAAAGGAAACUCUUACAGUCCCAAAUAUACUGUAUUCAUUUCAUCCUCAGAGACCUAUAAACCCUAUGUGCCUAGUUGUGUUAUAUGGAAGCUGCAGAAAUCAUGUAGAAAAUACAAGCCAAAUGAAGUUUCUGGGUGUACAAGUCACUCUAGUAGGAAUUACAUGUUCUAUCUGAAUGCUGGAGGUUUGCUUCUGCCAAAGUGGAAGGAGCUCACAGAAUUCAUAUAGCUCUGCCUUCCAGAGGUGUGUAUCCAUAUGUACAAAGAACACCAUAUUACCUCCCUUAAUUAAACACAAUUUAUCUGUUUGUUUUGGCUAAAACACUGAUUGUCACUAUACUUGCUAAAAAGCACUUUCUCUCUGUAGAAGGAAAAAAAAAAAAAAAAAAAAAAAGGUGUAUUGAUUUGUACAUUGCUCAUGCAUUUUUUCUCUCUCUUUUUUUCUUUCUCUCUCUCUCUCUCUCUUUUUUUUUUCCUUCUUCCAUUUAAAUUCCUGUUUUUUCCUUCAUGCUUUUGCAUUUUUUAUAGAACAGAGCUCUCAGCCACAGCCUGAGGGAUCUGAAGAUGCCCUCACCGAUAUACAGCACACCAGUCUGAAAUUUGCACUGUCUCCAGUUAAAUCCAUGCACUUUUCAGGAAGAUUAUUACCUACAACAGGUAUUCAGGACUGCAUCCAACCUUUUUUUUUUUUUAAGGCUGUAGACUCAACAGUGUCUCGAGGCCCUAGUGUUUAAUCAUGCACAUGCCAAAAAUAAUCAAAAGCAAAACAAAACCCAAACAAAACCAUAACCAACAACAGCAACAACAACAAAAGACCACAAUCCCACAACUUUUUUGUAUGUUGAAAAAGAAUUUGCUCUCUAUCAGCUUGUGCCCAGCGUGUGUUGCCCUGCCACUGGGCACUAUGGCAGAGAGACUGUCUUCUUUCAACUCUUCUAACACAUAUUUGCACAAAUGGAAAAGAUGUCCCUGAGACAGACCCUACACUAAACAGUCCUGGCUUUCUCAGGCUUUCCUUGUAUGAAAGAUGCUCCAGUCUCUUCAUCAUCUUUGUGAUCUUUCACUGGACCAGUAUGCCCAUGUCUUUCUUGUCCUGGGCAGCCCAGGACUGGUCCUGCACUCCAGUUGUGUCUUACCAAUGCUGAGUAAAGGGGAAUGGUCAUGCUUUGCCUAAUGCAGCCCAGGAUGCAGUUGGAUGUCUUUGUCUAAAAGGUACAUUGCCGGCUCAUCUUCAACUUGGUGUCCACCAGAACCUCCAUAUCCUAUUUUGCAAAAGUGCUUUAAAGGCAAUCAGCAUCCAGGCUGUCCUGGUGUCUGGUGUUAUUCUUUCACAAAUGCAGAAUUUGGCAUUUGUUUACCUUGGUGAUGAUUUAGCAAGGGAACACAGAUCUGUCCUCUUCUCCACAACUUACAAAUUACAGCUAAAAUUAGUAGAAGAUAUAAACUCUUGUUUCUUGUCCCGCUCUACUCUGCGCUGGUGCGACCUCACCUUGAGUACUGUGUGCAGUUCUGGGCACCACAGUAUAAAAAGGACAUGAAACUGUUGGAGAGUGUCCAGAGGAGGGCUACGAAGAUGGUGAAAGGCCUGGAGGGGAAGACGUACGGGAACGGCUGAGGGCACUGGCCUGUUCAGCCUGGAGAAGAGGAGGCUGAGGGGAGACCUCAUCGCAGUCUACAACUUCCUCGUAAGGGGGUGUCGAGAGGCAGGAGACCUUUUCUCCAUUAACAUCAGCGACAGGACCCGCGGGAACGGGGUUAAGCUGAGGCAGGGGAAGUUUAGGCUUGACAUCAGGAGGAAGUUCUUCACAGAGAGAGUGGUUGCACACUGGAACAGGCUCCCCAGGGAAGUGGUCACUGCACCGAGCCUGACUGAAUUUAAGAAGAGAUUGGACUGUGCGCUUAGUCACAUGGUCUGAACUUUUGGGUAGACCUGUGCGGUGUCAAGAGUUGGACUUAUGAUCCUUAAGGGUCCCUUCCAACUCAGGAUAUUCUAUGGUUCUAUGAUUCUUGGUUUCAGCAUAGCACACAUUGAAGACUAGUAAUUGAUAGAGGUAGUAGCUGAAAACUUCCGUGUGUGUUGACACAUGAACCUUUUUUUUUUUUUUUGUAGUAUCUGUUUGUUUGGGCAGUAUACGCUGCUGAAAAGAACUGCUAUGUCCCCCUCAGGCAUGAAAAUAAAACCUGAUUUUAUCUUUAAUUGCCA
RNAcentral lists this long non-coding RNA (3197 nucleotides) under Anas platyrhynchos platyrhynchos (common mallard). RNAcentral's name for it is "lncRNA (ENSAPLG00000029156.1)". The record is from RNAcentral. Lineage: Eukaryota; Metazoa; Chordata; Aves; Anseriformes; Anatidae.